ACCUAGCACAUUUCCAGUGGAAUUUUCCUCCUGAACCUAGCACACACGUUGUCGCUGGCCUUGGCAACACUGCGUCGAGUCGGAAGCGAAAGAGAACAGCUCAAUGUCGGGACGAGACGGAGGAAAGAAAAAGCCUCUUAAGGCUCCCAAGAAGCAGAAUAUGGAUAUGGACGACGAUGACAAGGCAUUCAUGCAAAAGAAGAAGGAUGAGGAGAGGAAGAUAAAGGAAUUGCAACAGAGAGCCGCAAAGGGUGGUCCACUCGGUGGAGGUGGCAUCAAGAAGAGCGGAAAGAA
Molecule: long non-coding RNA, 294 nt
Filed under: Penaeus japonicus
Lineage: Eukaryota; Metazoa; Arthropoda; Malacostraca; Decapoda; Penaeidae
Description: uncharacterized LOC122263741
Source: RNAcentral